Molecule: long non-coding RNA, 176 nt
Organism: Neomonachus schauinslandi (Hawaiian monk seal)
Lineage: Eukaryota; Metazoa; Chordata; Mammalia; Carnivora; Phocidae
Exons: 3
Source: RefSeq, a predicted model, not a curated record
UGCACUCGGCUUCUAGCCUUGGCGUUUGGAGGAGAAGCAUCUGUCCCAGAUGGAUAAUGGUUAAGGAACAAUCUGAAAUUCAAUUCAAAAAGAAGAUAGAAGAUAGUAGGUAAAAGUCUGCAGAUUUAUCCACCCAAGAUAAUUUUGGUGUGAGAAAAUUUAAUGUGAAAUCAUCG